AUCAAAAGUUCAAACUGCAUGGUCGCCGGUUUUGUCUGUUUGUACAUGUAAGCACAGGGACUCGUCACAAAAUAUUUGUCUUAUUAAAAUUUGACAUCGUCUAUUCUAUAUUUACAUUAUAUUAUGUAAAUAUAGAAUAGAGAGGGUCAAUUCGUGACGAGCCCCUGUGAUGUAAGUUGUAACGUGUACAGACACAGGUGACAGGGGCUCGUCACGAACAUUUUGUCACCGUCUAUUCUAUAAUAUAGGGUCAAAUCGGGACAAGCCCCUGUGGUGUAAGCCUAUAAUAUGUUUCAGUGUAACUGUAAUGGCCAGUCUCUGUGAGACAGUGUAACUGUUUGAACAUGUUGUCGCUAUGCUGUAAACAAAAAUUAUUGUAUUUUACAUAAUUAGUUAAAGGGUGAUUAGAUAUAGAUCUAGGGCCUAACAAAAUCGUGGAAAGUAAUCACAGAGGUGGAUAUAGAUGGCGAACAAAAUAGGGGUGGGUGGUCCACCUGUCCCUCCUCCCACAUAACAUUACCCCUUCCUCGGACCUCAUUUCUAACCCCUCCUCAUUUCCUCUUAUCCCUCAGAUACACCCCCCCCCCUUAAUUGAAUAUAGAUCUGUACAAGGUUUGCAUAGUUAUGGGAAUACCGAUCUACCAUUACCAGGGUGUGAUAUAUACUUUGUAAUGUAGUAUAUUUACUACUAUACCAUAACAUGCCAGCUUGUAAUCACAAAUAAUUUGAAUUUUGAAAUUGAUUCGCUUUGGUUAUAUAUACAGACUGUGGACAAAAGUAUCGGAACGGAUUACGUGACGUUACACAAGAAUGAAACUGUUCGUGUUAUUUACGGCAGGCAUUUUCAGUGUAGAUACGAUUUGACACUACACCUUAGGUAUUUUCAUAAUGAUGAUGACUUCCUGUUUACACUAACUACGUUAUUUUUGUCGUCUGCAAUCAUAAAGUAAGUAAAGACCUCUCCAAACAACAUGGCCUCGAAACAUAAAUAUGCAUCGGAUGGUGUCAAACAGUCAGUUGCUACAUUAGUUCAGAAUGGAAAUUCUUUUCAGAAAGUUGCAGAUAUGUUAGAUAUGGCUAAAACAUCUGUGCAUCGAAUUUACAGAAAUUUCUGUGAACGAGGAACUGUAAAAACAGCCCCUAAAACAGGUCGCAAGAAAAGUCUCAGCGAUCGUGACGGAAGGAAAAUUUUACGACAAGUGAAGGCUAACAGGAAAACUCCAUUGGCCGAUGUGACGAAUAAUUUUAACAAUAAUGAAAACAGAAAUGUAUCCAAAAAGACAGUGUGGCGUUUUCUUAAGAAUCAGAGGUAUAGUCGAUGUGUCUGCAAGAAAAAAAUCAGGAUUUCCCCUGUAAACAGACAGAGAAGAGUGGCAUGGUGUCGAGCCAAAUCAACAUGGACAAACGAUGACUGGAAAAAAAUUAUUUUUUCAGACGAGAGUCAAAUUGUUAUUGGUAGUGAUAACAAAGUGUAUAUCUGGAGAAAAAGUGACGAGGCCUUUAGACCAGAAUGUAUUUCACCUGUAAAAACCAAGAAACUUGCCGUGAUGGUUUGGGGUUGCAUAACCUAUCAUGGCGUCGGCACAUUAACACGUGUGGAGGGGAACAUCAAUUCAGAUAAAUAUAUUCAAAUCAUAGACAACAAUCUAUGGCCAGUAAUAGCAAGACACUUUCCUGACAAUAAUUAUAUAUUUCAAGAUGAUAAUGCACCAGUUCAUCGUUCUAGGGCUACUAAAACAUUCAUGGAAUAUAACCAUAUCAACACGAUGGAGUGGCCGGCACAGAGCCCAGAUAUAAACAUUAUAGAAAAUUUAUGGUUAAAGAUUAAAAAAAAGAUAGAGCAAUCAAUGGAUGAGAUUACCUCUGUGGAACAAUUAUAUGAUAAAAUUUAUUCAAUUUGGACCCGUUUCGAUUGUGAAACUAUUAAACAUUUGUACCAAUCCCUCCCCAAGAGAAUCACUGCAGUACGGAGAGCCAAAGGCUAUAUCACGAAAUAUUAAAAUGGCCUGAGCAAUGUGAAGACCGCUAAAGUCAUUGGCUGUUCUGUAGCGCCAUGCACUCUGAAGAGGGGAAGUAACGCGACGUUUCAAGUGGAUUUUACUGCAGUUGAGGCUGCCACGGCUCUAAAGGCUGUAGUUCA
Molecule: RNA transcript, 2140 nt
Organism: Ostrea edulis (European flat oyster)
Lineage: Eukaryota; Metazoa; Mollusca; Bivalvia; Ostreida; Ostreidae
Gene name: NPC intracellular cholesterol transporter 2 homolog a
Exons: 3
Source: RefSeq, a predicted model, not a curated record